AAACAAUAAUUUCGCAGUAGCUGCCUAAUCGCACUCUGCAUCGCCUAACAGCAUUUCCUAUGUGCUGUUAACGCGAUUCAACCUUAAUAGGAUAUGCUAAACACUGCCGUUUGAAGUCUGUUUAGAAGAAACUUAAUCAAACUAGCAUCAUGUUGGUUGUUUAUCACUUUUCAUGAUGCGAAACCUAUCGAUAAACUACACACGUAGAAAGAUGUGUAUCAGGACCUUUGGACGCGGGUUCAAAUCCCGCCGUCUCCAUAU
RNAcentral lists this transfer-messenger RNA (261 nucleotides) under Staphylococcus aureus. RNAcentral's name for it is "partial transfer-messenger RNA". It matches the Rfam family "transfer-messenger RNA", at positions 95 to 374 of the family's 374-position model. From Rfam's summary of the family: Bacterial tmRNA, also known as 10Sa RNA or SsrA, is named for its dual tRNA and mRNA-like properties. The record is from RNAcentral. Lineage: Bacteria; Bacillati; Bacillota; Bacilli; Caryophanales; Staphylococcaceae.